Molecule: long non-coding RNA, 430 nt
Filed under: Mus spicilegus (steppe mouse)
Lineage: Eukaryota; Metazoa; Chordata; Mammalia; Rodentia; Muridae
Description: lncRNA (ENSMSIG00000004414.1)
Source: RNAcentral
CCUUAGCAACUAAGCAAGUAACAUUUUUCAUCUUCCCUUAUCAAUAUUCAGUUAACAUUCAAUAGCUUCUUUGCUAUGCUCCAUGGUUUUAUCGCCUGCAAAAUGGAGGUCCGCAGGGAUCACAGAGAAGCAAAGAUAUCUGAGAAAAGCCUAAAGAAGCAUGUUUCCCAGGUGGAGAUUCUCAAUGCUACCUCUCCAUCUCUCUCCACUUUGACCUCAUUACCUCCUGUCUGGGAUGCUCUCUCCACCUCAUGCCUGGCCUUGCCCUUACUUAUAUCAGCCUCUGUGGAAAAGAAUAGAGGUUCCUAUUGCUGAGGUACCACACUCUGGUAUAGGAGACACCUUUGUCAAGGAGAACCAACAUUCCAGCCCCAUAGGGCUUCUGUUCUAUAUUUAUCUCCAGAAGACUCCUGAUUUUCAUUACUUCUUG